CAUGCCGAAGCAGGGAUCGAAACACUGUCUCGGAACACUUCCGCUUCAAACGCUCGGCACUGUGUCAAGCAAAGUGGCUCGAGCAUAACAUCACUAGUUUAACCGCAGUCCCCAAAAGUGUGGCAGCAUUUCACGCUUCACAAAACAAAAAACAUGCGUAACAUGCAAGCUUUACAAAAGUGACAUGAUGUACGGGAGCACCACGAUGAUGAUGCAGCACCUGAAACGGAAACACGUUGGAGUCUCUGAUGAGGAUGAAGGAGCUCAACAGCAGCAAACAAUGACAGGCUUCAUGAUGAGAAAGACAUCAUGUCCACCACAGCAAGCAUCUGUCCUGACUGAGAGCAUCCUCAGCAUGAUGGUCACUGACAUGAGGCCUCUGUCGACGGUUGAAGACAAAGGCUUCGCUACAAUGAUCUUAUUUGCUCUGUUUCCCAGAGACUAUGGGUUGAGGAGGAAUUGGAAGUUUGUCGGCUUAGACCUGGUCUCAUUCCAUCAGUGUUAAACUUCCUGGCUCAUCUUGGAAGAGUACGUGCCAGAAAGACCAUGACCAAGCAGCCUUGAGAUCUUAGGCAGCGUCUCCCUGAGGUCCCUCUCUAUCUCCCCACACAUCCACCAACCACUGGAACACAUCUCCAAAGUUCUGCUGGACCAGCUCAGCUUCCCCUCAGAAGAAGUGCCACCACCUGCCAGAUGAAGGAGCCUUUUGAGAGGCAGCUGGCAUCGUGAUUGGACUGUACUUUGGUCUGUUCCAAUCCAGCUUCAGCUCCAGAGACGGCAGGCGGGACGAGUCAACGGAGGCCUGGUGGACGAAGGCAUGCAGCUGAGUACAAUCCAGAAAACAACAGAGGAGGAGUGCAGCAGCCCAGAGCCAGAACAACCAGAGUAGCAUCAUAUGUCUCUUAGAAAACAUCAUAGUAUAGCCUUUGGUAUGAAAAAACGCCAUCAUAUACAUCGUAUAUUGUACAAAUAACAAGUCAAAGGAAAGAGACAUACAUUGUAGAAUUGUAGUAAUUGUGGGCUGACUGAUUUACUGAUUAUCAGUAUUUUAUUUUUACUGAUUUAUGGUAAUAAAUACAUUUAAAAAUGG
Long non-coding RNA from Amphiprion ocellaris (clown anemonefish), 1090 nucleotides. RefSeq lists it as uncharacterized. The record is from RefSeq and is a predicted model, not a curated record. NCBI's taxonomy places the organism in Eukaryota, Metazoa, Chordata, Actinopteri, Pomacentridae. The transcript has 4 exons.